GACGAACGCUGGCGGCGUGCUUAACACAUGCAAGUCGAACGGAAAGGCCCUGCUUGCAGGGUCCUCGAGUGGCGAACGGGUGAGUAACUCGUGGGUGAUUUGCCCUGCACUUCGGGAUAAGCCUGGGCAACUGGGCCUAUUACCGGAUAGGAGCUAUUUUUAGCGUGAUGGUUGGAAAGUUUUUUCGGUGUUGGAUGAGCUGGCGGCCUAUCAGCUUGUUGGUGGGGUAAUGGCCUACCAAGGCGGCGACGCGUAGCCGGCCUGCGAGAGUGGGCGGCUGCAUUGGGUCUGAGGGGCGGCCGAGACUGCGACGAGUGGCAGCAGGGGGGAAGAUUGCACAAGGAGCGCAGGGCUGGUGCAGCGACGCCGCGUGGGGUAUGACCGCCUUCGGGUGGUAGACUCCUUGCGCUAGGAACGAAGCUUUUUGUGACGGUACCUAAAUAAGAAGCACCGGCUAACUACGUG
Molecule: ribosomal RNA, 465 nt
Filed under: uncultured bacterium
Lineage: Bacteria
Description: partial 16S ribosomal RNA
Rfam family: Bacterial small subunit ribosomal RNA
Source: RNAcentral